Ctenopharyngodon idella (grass carp) is the source of this 1285-nucleotide long non-coding RNA. RefSeq lists it as uncharacterized. The record is from RefSeq and is a predicted model, not a curated record. The transcript has 3 exons. NCBI's taxonomy places the organism in Eukaryota, Metazoa, Chordata, Actinopteri, Cypriniformes, Xenocyprididae.
GUUCAAAGCAUUUCUCUCACACUCUGCCUAUCUCCUCAAAGGCCUAACUGGAACUAAAGAAGCUGUCCUAAAUAUUUCACACACAUAACUGACAUUAAGAGGAAGUUUGGAUGGGAAGUCGCCUGGAAGUUGUGACAACGACAUGUGACAGUUUUUUCACAGGACACUAGAAACUAGAACUACAUAAACUGAAAGAUUAGAAAAGCAUUGGUCACAGACAUAUUUUUCAAAGCAAAAACACCAAAGUUGGUUAAUAAAUACCUUUGGAUCUCUGGUCGACCUGAGGAAUUUUAGACCUUUCUUCCUUCAAGAUCAAGUCUGGGCGAGUCUAGAUGAGUGCGCACGAACUAAAAGAAGUGAAAGUUUCUGAAACUUCUCUUGAACAGCCUGAGCAGUGUCUCGCAGUCUGUAAGGACACAGAUCAUCGGAAAUUAGCCAUAUGGAGUAUCAUAUGUGGCCUUUCCUGCUUUGGAAUUAUGUCCCUUAUGUACUCUGUCAAGGCACGAGAGACAAGAAAAAGACUUGAUGAUCGCCAGGAGACAAGGGAUAUGGCUAAGAAAUACGCCGACAAAGCUCGUAAAUGGGGAAUUGGGUCCAUUGUGGCCUGGGUGGUUUUAAUUCUCAUCUUUCCAUUACUGAUUGCAUUUCUGUCCUACAUUGUAACCUUCAUAAAUUAACACUGCAGAAGCUUUUCUACAGCUAAAUGAACUGUAAGAGCGCAGAAACGAGUCUUAUUGCUCACAUUGGAGCAUUAACGGUCAUUAUUUAAAUUCAUUGUGGGUUUUGAAUGGUGCUUGCCAAUAGUCUGGAUCAAAAGUCCAAAACUUGCUACCUAGUAUUUAAAAAAAGGAUUCAACAGCUCAACCUUUGCUAAACAAUUUAAAUUUGUAUGCUUUUAGUAUUAACAAAACAUAUUGGAUCCUACUAAUAAGUGAAAUAAUUAUAUCACAGCAAUUAAACCAAUGCAAUUUUUGAAUGCAGUUCAAAAACGGUACAGCAGCUUUCAGGAAUUUGUUACACAUGCAGCAGAUGGAGCCAUGCACACAAAACAAAUCCAUCAACACUGUCCAGACAAAAACUACUUUUACAUUUCAGCAAGUGUUUUUAUUUAGGCUCUUAAUGAAAAUUGGAAAUGAAACGUUGAAACACUCGCAGGGAGUUGAGAUGCGUUACGUUAUUAACUUUCAGUUCUUGUAAAUAAGUAUUUUCAAUACGUUGUGCUUUUGAUGUUUUGUACAUUGCAUGUCUUUCAGGAUUUGUAAUAAAAUGUUUAACAGUCAAAAUA